This is a long non-coding RNA of Erpetoichthys calabaricus (reedfish), 851 nucleotides long. RefSeq lists it as uncharacterized. The transcript is spliced from 4 exons. NCBI's taxonomy places the organism in Eukaryota, Metazoa, Chordata, Cladistia, Polypteriformes, Polypteridae. The record is from RefSeq and is a predicted model, not a curated record.
GCAAUGCAUUUGUUAUGAAAUGUGUUGUGCUUUGCUUUUCUGUUGCAAAACCAGUUGCAGUCAGCUCUUUUGUUGUAAAGUCACUGAAUUUAGACUCCUCUGUGCUGUAAGUGGUACUGUGUACAUCUGUAAUGAGGUUGGUGGUUCUAGGAUUUUGUGUAGUAGAGUAAGUUGUGUGCAAUCCAUCUGUUGUGAAAUAGGUUGUGCUAACUUCUUCUGUUGUAGCACCACCUGCAGUCAUUUCCUCUGUUGUAAAGUGACUGAUUGUAGACUCAUUUGCUCCAUAGCCAGUGGUGUUCUGUACAUCUGUAAUGAGGAUGGUGGUUCUGGGAUUUUGUAUAGUAGAGUAAGUAGUGUGUAAUCCGUCUGUUGUGAAAUAGGUUGUGCUAACUUCUUCUGUUGUAGCACCACUUGCAGUCAUUUCCUCUGUUGUAAAAUCACUGAUUGUAGACUCCUUUGUGCUAUAACCAGUAGUACUGAGUACAUCUAUAAUAAAGUUGGUAGUUCUUGGCUUUUGUGUGUAUGGAUAAAUAGUGUAGGUCACUUCUGUUGUAAAAUCACUUGUGGUUACAUCUUCUGUUGUAAAACCACUUCCAUUUAAUUCCUCUGUUGCAUAACCUUUUGUUAAAUCACUGGCACUACUGACAGUACUGAUUGGUUGCUUUAUGGUAUUACUACUGAUGUUCAGUACAUCUGUCGCAAAAUGUGUUACAGAGCCAGUAGUGCUUAACUCACUUUUAGUAAAGUCACUUGUACUCAGCUCUUUUGUAGUAUAAGCACUGGUGCUCAUUGUAUUUGUUGUAAAAGCACAGGUUUGAGGUGUCUGUGUAGAUGAAUCACUAGUGCUUGAG